This 700-nucleotide ribosomal RNA is filed under the name Longicyatholaimus egregius. Its description in RNAcentral is "SSU rRNA". It matches the Rfam family "Eukaryotic small subunit ribosomal RNA", at positions 247 to 957 of the family's 1831-position model. Lineage: Eukaryota; Metazoa; Nematoda; Chromadorea; Chromadorida; Cyatholaimidae. The record is from RNAcentral.
UGAAUCUGAAUAACUCAGCUGAUCGCAUGGUCCUUGCACCGGCGAUGUAUCUUUCAAGUGUCUGCCUUAUCAACUUUCGAUGGUAGUUUACACGCCUACCAUGGUUGUAACGGGUAACGGAGAAUAAGGGUUCGACUCCGGAGAGGGAGCCUGAGAAAUGGCUACCACAUCCAAGGAAGGCAGCAGGCGCGCAAAUUACCCACUCUCAGAUCGAGGAGGUAGUGACGAAAAAUAACGAGAUGGUUCUCUAUGAGGUCCAUCAUCGGAAUGGGUACAAUUUAAACCCUUUAACGAGGAUCUAUUGGAGGGCAAGUCUGGUGCCAGCAGCCGCGGUAAUUCCAGCUCCAAUAGCGUAUAUUAAAGUUGUUGCGGUUAAAAAGCUCGUAGUUGGAUCUGCGGCCUAGUGUGCCGGUCCCCCGCAGGGUGUGACUGGUUUCGCAGGCCUACCUCGCUGGUUUUCCCCUGGUCCUCUUCACUGAGUGCCUUGGGUGACCAGCAACUUUACUUUGAAAAAAUUAGAGUGCUCAAAGCAGGCGUGUAGCCUGAAUAGUGGUGCAUGGAAUAAUGGAAUAGGACCUCGGUUCUAUUUUGUUGGUUUUUGGAGCCGAGGUAAUGAUUAAAGGGACAAUGGGGGCAUUGUAUGCUGCGUUAAGGAAAUUCUUGGAUCGCAGCAAGACGGACAACUGCGAAAAAUCCUUGU